UACGUAGGGGGCGAGCGUUAUCCGGAAUUACUGGGUGUAAAGGGAGCGUAGACGGAGUGGUAAGCCUGGAGUGGAAGGCCGCGGCCCAACCGCGGGAGUGCUCUGGGAACUGCCAUGCUGGAGUAUGGGAGGGGUAAGCGGAAUUCCUGGUGUAGCGGUGAAAUGCGUAGAUAUCAGGAGGAACACCGGUGGCGAAGGCGGCUUACUGGACCAUGACUGACGUUGAGGCUCGAAAGCGUGGGGAGCGA
RNAcentral lists this ribosomal RNA (248 nucleotides) under uncultured Blautia sp. RNAcentral describes it as "partial 16S ribosomal RNA". It matches the Rfam family "Bacterial small subunit ribosomal RNA", at positions 524 to 771 of the family's 1533-position model. The record is from RNAcentral. Lineage: Bacteria; Bacillati; Bacillota; Clostridia; Lachnospirales; Lachnospiraceae.